GAUGAACGCUGGCGGCGUGCCUAAUACAUGCAAGUCGAGCGAACGGACGAGAAGCUUGCUUCUCUGAUGUUAGCGGCGGACGGGUGAGUAACACGUGGAUAACCUACCUAUAAGACUGGGAUAACUUCGGGAAACCGGAGCUAAUACCGGAUAAUAUUUUGAACCGCAUGGUUCAAAAGUGAAAGACGGUCUUGCUGUCACUUAUAGAUGGAUCCGCGCUGCAUUAGCUAGUUGGUAAGGUAACGGCUUACCAAGGCAACGAUGCAUAGCCGACCUGAGAGGGUGAUCGGCCACACUGGAACUGAGACACGGUCCAGACUCCUACGGGGGGCAGCAGUAGGGACUCUUCCGCAAUGGGCGAAAGCCUGACGGAGCAACGCCGCGUGAGUGCUGAAGGUCUUCGGAUCGUAAAACUCUGUUAUUAGGGAAGAACAUAUGUGUAAGUAACUGUGCACAUCUUGACGGUACCUAAUCAGAAAGCCACGGCUAACUACGUG
Molecule: ribosomal RNA, 497 nt
Filed under: uncultured bacterium
Lineage: Bacteria
Description: partial 16S ribosomal RNA
Rfam family: Bacterial small subunit ribosomal RNA
Source: RNAcentral